This is an RNA transcript of Carya illinoinensis, 1697 nucleotides long. It is a transcript of the gene named serine--tRNA ligase, with no coding region annotated. Lineage: Eukaryota; Viridiplantae; Streptophyta; Magnoliopsida; Fagales; Juglandaceae. The record is from RefSeq and is a predicted model, not a curated record. The transcript has 10 exons.
UUUCAUAGCUAGGGUUUUGUCUCGUAGAGUGGUACAAGCCCUUGCUGGCUCCUGCUUUGUUCUACAUUCCAUUUCCGUAGUUGCACUCACACAUUCGCAGAGAGGGGGAGAAUGUUGGACAUCAAUAUCUUCCGAGUAGAGAAGGGUGGCAACCCCGAUCUCAUCCGCGAAUCUCAACGACGCCGUUUCGCCAACGUCCAGCUCGUCGACGAGGUCAUCGAGCUCGACAAAGAAUGGCGAAAACAUCAAUUCGAUCUCGAGAACCUUCGAAAGGAUCUUAACAAGAUCAACAAGCGAAUCGCUCAACUUCGAAUUGCUGGUGAAGACACCACUGAGAUGAUCAAGGAUACGGAGGAAAACAAGAAGUCAGCUGCGGAGGGAGAAGUUAAAGUUCGGGAAGUUUUAAAACAAUUGAAUUCAAAAUUAGAAACCAUUGGAAAUCUCGUUCAUGAUUCUGUUCCAAUCAGCGAUGAUGAGGCAAACAAUGCGGUUAUAAGAUCAUGGGGUGAGAAACGGUUGGAGCCAAAACUAAAGAAUCAUGUUGAGCUUGUUGAGCUCCUUGGGAUUGCAGAUUUAAAGAAAGGUACUGAUGUGGCUGGAGGUAGAGGUUUCUACUUGAAAGGAGAUGGAGUGCGUCUUAAUCAAGCUCUGAUCAACUUUGGUCUUGAAUUUUUGGAGAAAAGAGGAUAUACACCAUUGCAGACUCCAUUUUUCAUGAGAAAAGAUAUCAUGGCAAAGUGUGCUCAAUUAGCACAAUUUGAUGAAGAACUUUACAAGGUAACUGGUGAGGGUGAUGACAAAUAUCUGAUUGCUACAGCUGAACAACCACUUUGUGCAUAUCAUUUGGAUGAUUGGAUCCAUCCUUCUGAGCUACCCUUAAGAUAUGCUGGUUAUUCGUCCUGCUUUCGUAAAGAGGCUGGUUCACAUGGUCGAGAUACUCUGGGAAUAUUCAGAGUUCAUCAAUUUGAGAAGGUUGAGCAGUUUUGCAUUACUGGCCCGGAGAACAAUGAAUCUUGGGCAAUGCAUGAGGAAAUGAUGAAAAACUCCGAGGAUUUCUACAAGAUGCUAAACAUUCCCUAUCAAGUUGUUGCUAUUGUUUCUGGUGCUCUCAAUGAUGCAGCUUCCAAGAAGUAUGAUUUGGAAGGAUGGUUCCCUGCAUCUCAGACUUACAGGGAGCUGGUGUCCUGCUCAAACUGUACAGACUAUCAGUCAAGAAGAUUAGAAAUUCGAUUUGGGCAGAAAAAGAGCAAUGAGCAAGCAAAGAAAUAUGUUCACUUAUUGAACUCAACACUCACAGCAACAGAGAGAACAAUAUGCUGUAUACUUGAGAACCAUCAGAGGGCCGAUGGCGUUGAGGUACCAGAAGCCUUGCGGGAAUUUAUGGGUGGAAAGACCUUCCUACCUUUCAAGAACAAGCCAGCCGACGAAGCCAAAGGGAAGAAAAAGGCCUAAUUUAUUGUUUAACUAACCUUUGACUGAGACUAAAAUUUCAAUGUUAUUAUCCACCCCUACUCUAUUUUUCCCAAAAAUGAAGCAGCAAAAACAAUGGGUGGAAACAACAUGAAAUUAGAUUGUUUUGAGGCAUUGUUGUUCGGAAAUUGGAAGACCAAUUUUGUGGUCUUUGUCUAAAAGCUGAUUUUGUGAUGGGAAUAGUUGUUACCUAAAUAUUAUAUUGGAUCAUAUCGAUUUUUGUACCA